UACGGGGGGGGCAAGCGUUGUUCGGAAUUACUGGGCGUAAAGGGCGCGUAGGCGGCCUGCUAAGUCGAACGUGAAAUCCCUGGGCUCAACCCAGGAACUGCGUCCGAUACUGGUUGGCUUGAAUCCGGGAGAGGGACGUGGAAUUCCUGGUGUAGCGGUGAAAUGCGCAGAUAUCAGGAAGAACACCCGUGGCGAAGGCGGCUCUCUGGGACGGUACUGACGCUGAGACGCGAAAGCGUGGGGAGCGAACAGG
RNAcentral lists this ribosomal RNA (253 nucleotides) under uncultured bacterium. Its description in RNAcentral is "partial 16S ribosomal RNA". It matches the Rfam family "Bacterial small subunit ribosomal RNA", at positions 524 to 776 of the family's 1533-position model. The record is from RNAcentral.